Molecule: ribosomal RNA, 458 nt
Filed under: uncultured Sphingobacteriales bacterium
Lineage: Bacteria; Pseudomonadati; Bacteroidota; Sphingobacteriia; Sphingobacteriales
Description: bacterial SSU rRNA
Rfam family: Bacterial small subunit ribosomal RNA
Source: RNAcentral
ACAAGCGUGGAGCGAUAUGGUUUAAUUCGAAGCAACGCGAAGAACCUUACCAGGCCUUGACAUGCAGAGAACUUUCCAGAGAUGGAUUGGUGCCUUCGGGAACUCUGACACAGGUGCUGCAUGGCUGUCGUCAGCUCGUGUCGUGAGGUGUCCGGGUUAAGUCCCAUAACGAGCGCAACCCCUAUCAUUAGUUGCCAUCAGGUCAAGCUGGGGACUCUAAUGAAACUGCCUACGCAAGUAGUGAGGAAGUGGGGAUGACGUCAAAUCAGCACGGCCCUUACGUCCAGGGCUACACACGUGCUACAAUGGCCGGUACAAAGGGCAGCUACCUGGUGACAGGAUGCUAAUCUCAAAAGCCGGUCUCAGUUCGGAUCGGAGUCUGCAACCCGACUCCGUGAAGUUGGAUUCGCUAGUAAUCGCGCAUCAGCCAUGGCGCGGUGAAUACGUUCCCGGGCCUU